GGCCUAAUGGUCUAGUAGCAUGAUUCUUCCUUUGGGUCGCACCGCAAGGUGGGAAAUAACUUGGAAGAGGUCCUGGGUUCAAUUCCCAGUUGGGCCC
Non-coding RNA from Sphaerobolus stellatus SS14, 97 nucleotides. Lineage: Eukaryota; Fungi; Basidiomycota; Agaricomycetes; Geastrales; Sphaerobolaceae. The record is from the annotation of a GenBank genome assembly.